GGAGAUGUGGCUCUGUUGGAAGAGUGCUUGUCUAGCAUACAGGAGGUCCUGGGUUCAGUCCCUAGCACCA
Molecule: transfer RNA, 70 nt
Filed under: Neotoma lepida (desert woodrat)
Lineage: Eukaryota; Metazoa; Chordata; Mammalia; Rodentia; Cricetidae
Rfam family: tRNA
About the family: Transfer RNA (tRNA) molecules are approximately 80 nucleotides in length.
Source: Rfam by way of RNAcentral